AGAAUCAACGCUGGCGGCGUGCCUAACACAUGCAAGUCGCACGAGGAAGGGACUUCGGUCCUGAGUAAAGUGGCGCACGGGUGAGUAACACGUGAAUCAUCUACCUCCGAGUGGGGAAUAACCUAGAGAAAUCUGGGCUAAUACCGCAUAACACUUACGAGUCAAAGCAGCAAUGCGCUUGGAGAGGAGUUCGCGGCAGAUUAGUUAGUUGGCGGGGUAAUGGCCCACCAAGACGAUGAUCUGUA
Molecule: ribosomal RNA, 245 nt
Filed under: uncultured bacterium
Lineage: Bacteria
Description: partial small subunit ribosomal RNA
Rfam family: Bacterial small subunit ribosomal RNA
Source: RNAcentral